GACGAACGCUGGCGGCGUGCUUAACACAUGCAAGUCGAACGGAAAGGCCCUGCUUUUGUGGGGUGCUCGAGUGGCGAACGGGUGAGUAACACGUGAGUAACCUGCCCUUGACUUUGGGAUAACUUCAGGAAACUGGGGCUAAUACCGGAUAGGAGCUCCUGCUGCAUGGUGGGGGUUGGAAAGUUUCGGCGGUUGGGGCUGGACUCGCGGCUUAUCCGCUUGUUGGUGGGGUAGUGGCUUACCAAGGCUUUGACGGGUAGCCGGCCUGAGAGGGUGACCGGCCACAUGGGGACUGAGAUACGGCCCAGACUCAUACGGGAGGAAGCGGUGGGGAAUAUGGCACAAUGGGCGGAGGCCUGAUGGAGCAACGCCGCGUGCGGGAUGACGGCCUUCGGGUUGUAAACAGCUUUCGCCUGUGACGAAGCGUGAGUGACGGUAAUGGGUAAAGAAGCACCGGCUAACUACGU
RNAcentral lists this ribosomal RNA (467 nucleotides) under uncultured bacterium. Its description in RNAcentral is "partial 16S ribosomal RNA". It matches the Rfam family "Bacterial small subunit ribosomal RNA", at positions 28 to 506 of the family's 1533-position model. The record is from RNAcentral.